GCUGAAAGAAAGUGAAAACCGAUGCGGUUAGCUAAUUACACGCGGCAAGCGUGCCUCGUCGCCUCGUGGUUGGUGGGCCUCGCGUGAAAAUUGCCACGAUGAGAAAAACGCGCGCCAACAACCUUUCAAUUGAAUAGCGGCCCUGCUUAAACCGUAAAAGUGCCUGGGAAUGAGUCACAGCCACGGACACGUAGAUAAUGUACAGUUACCAGAUAUUAUUGACACAGGUCUUGGAGACGAGGCUAUUGGAUUUUAGAAGAAGCUUACACUUUCUGAUUGAAUAACAAUUCCCUGCGCAGGUCCUUAUGGUUGCUGGAGGUGAGGUAAGGGUUGUACGGUUUUCUUGGUAAGAUUAAGCCAUCCGGUCCCAUGUGAGGAGCAGGUGGAGGAGGUGGUGGUACACCCAAUACCGGUGCCAUUCUUUGUCCUAGAAAGAGAAAAAGAGAAGCAAAACACAUGGUUAAACAGUAUCGCAGAAGAAAAUAUUUUACGUAUCGAAAGAUCUCGCUCGAUUAACACCAUGACGAUCGAUUAAUUUAGUUUGAGAUCUAACGUUUAGGCGGAAAAUUAAGAAAACGUGGUCUAAGUUACGUUUAUGGGAAAAAUGGGCGAUAACUUGGGAUAUUUGGAAGGUAAAAGCGUACAACUAGCUAAUAACGAAAGAAAUAUAAAAGUAAAUAAAUAAGCACGAUAUAUAUUUAUAUCGUACGCUGAUAGUGAACACAGCACGCAGCAGCAUCAGUCAUCAUAGCGUUAAAGAGGAGAUAAAGUGGCGAAAGAAAUACACAAAUCGCGCCGAGUGUUUACAAAUGGCUGGGUGUUUAAUUUAACCAGUUUAGCAAGUCUUUUAUUUUUGCUCAAGUUACGAUCUCUUUGAAAAAGUGUGUACCUAAUAAAACGUGUGGUGAACAGUAAUGACGAUGACGAGUAUACUCGACGAACACAGAGUACGUGUGGCUGUUACGGUAUCGAAUUAAGUUGCAACGAAACGAGUAGGUGUUUUAUCUUUUAAUUUCGUUGCUGACAGGGCUGGUCGUAACGCAAGAUACUGCCACCUCUUCGUGUGCUCGUGAAAAACAGCAAACUGGUUAAUUUGAUUAGAAAUUCGUUUCGUCGGUCGAAAAUGUCACUCCUAUCGGAAAAUGGAAACGUCUCAAUGUUUGCAGGCCGGUUUUGAUGGUACAGCGUGCAAACGAAAGGGAAGAUCCUUGAAAGACAUCGUGAUGUAUUUGCAAACGUAUUAAAUCGAUCGAAGAAGAAGGCUGUUGGACGUGCGAAGAAUCGCAGCGAAAAGAAAGGAAAGACGAGGAUGGCGGAACGAGAGAGAAGAUGAAAGAUCGUGGUUUCUAGAAAACCGUUUAAUUCGACAGCGAACUAGAACGCGGCGAAUGAUAAUAAAUUUUUGCAGUCAGUUUUUUA
This is a long non-coding RNA of Bombus terrestris (buff-tailed bumblebee), 1419 nucleotides long. RefSeq lists it as uncharacterized. The transcript is spliced from 2 exons. NCBI's taxonomy places the organism in Eukaryota, Metazoa, Arthropoda, Insecta, Hymenoptera, Apidae. The record is from RefSeq and is a predicted model, not a curated record.